UCUAUGGAGAGACAACAGGAUGCGUAUUAUAGCUGGAAUAAUAAAGAGAAAGUGCAAAAAUUGCCAUUUUUACACCCACUAUACACAGAUCAGACACCCACAAUUGUUUUGUUGCUUUUCUUUUUUUUUUAUCUUACUGUCUACUGACAGAAUGGACUCUCAGAGUUCGGCAAUACUGCUUGACCAACCUUAACCCUUCAUUUCUGACUAGAAUUAAAUAAGAAAUGAUGGAAACAGAAAUAUUUAGUGACAUCAAAAACUUCUAAAUGUCAUUCAUGCAACGGAAACUGUGGGCCUGGAGCCAUGUCGAAGCUCAACUCGAGCUUUGCAGACUAGAAUUGCUGCACGGCACAAUCUAAUGAAAUAUAAUAAUCUAAUGAACUAUAUAAAAUAGGCUGUGCCGAUAAUUCCGUCUUUCUGAAUGUAAUAAUGCCCAAUUUUGAGCAGAUGAAGGACAUGGAUUACUGAAGCCAUGUCCUGCGGUCUGAUGACAUCAUCAGCUAGGCGAUGCAAAAGUCAACCACUGACAAGAGAUUGCAUUUGAAGAAAGAAAAGAAAAAAAAAAAUAGCCGCUCGCCUCGUCUCAAUGCCCCCACUCGUUUCAAAUGUGAAAUAGUAGAGCAAUCCAUUCCAUCCCCGUCUCAACAAUACCAAGUACCUAGAACCAGUGCGCUGUCCAGUCACACAAGGUGUGGCCAUGCGUGGGCAGUGUCUUGUCUCUUGUGUAAUCUGAGGAGAAUUGGCCCCAUUCGCACACAGCAUUUACGUCCGCACAAAUUUACCAAUUUUUUUUCAAAAGUCUGCAUACAAAAUUUUGAUGAUUCAUCAAUAAGUUUUACUCAUAUUUGUUCUUACUGUGUGAACAGAUUUAACACCUCGUCAGACCAUGCGUAUGCAAGAAUAAUGAUCACCACCCGUACAAAAAAAACAUCUUUUACCCCAAUUGCACAAUCUAUUGACUUUGUUGUUAUUGCUCUACUGCUGUAUUUAAAUAUUAAUAAUGUAUAUUCAUUUGUGGUUUCAUUUACUGUUUUCACAGUCUUUGUGGUUGUCCCAUUGUUAGAUGUAAGGCGCGACAUGAAACUACAUUUAUCAAAAGCCAAAUGCUUAUCCAUAAUGAUAAUAAUCGAAGCUGCUAGUUAUUAUUAAUAUUUUAAAAAAGGAACAAAUACAAAAUUAUAUGUAGGUGACAGAUGAAUGUCAACAAUUUUACCAGCGUUUGAUUACACAUCACGUCAGAGCAAUAUUUUGACAUCAGUAGAAGGGGCUUUAGCAUAUUUAGAGGUCACCACUGUACUGUAUAAACAAUGAGAGUCAAUGAAAUGAGGAAAAGUACA
This is a long non-coding RNA of Syngnathus acus (greater pipefish), 1337 nucleotides long. RefSeq lists it as uncharacterized. The transcript has 2 exons. The record is from RefSeq and is a predicted model, not a curated record. NCBI's taxonomy places the organism in Eukaryota, Metazoa, Chordata, Actinopteri, Syngnathiformes, Syngnathidae.